Non-coding RNA from Mycena leptocephala, 76 nucleotides. The record is from the annotation of a GenBank genome assembly. Lineage: Eukaryota; Fungi; Basidiomycota; Agaricomycetes; Agaricales; Mycenaceae.
GCGUCCUUGGUGUAACGGUAACACGCGAUCUAUAAUACUGUUGGAUUGGUCCGGGGUUCGACUCCCCGAGGGCGCC